GAUGAACGCUGGCUACAGGCUUAACACAUGCAAGUCGAGGGGAAACGACGGGGAAGCUUGCUUCCCCGGGCGUCGACCGGCGCACGGGUGAGUAACGCGUAUCCAACCUGCCUCUGACUGAGGGAUAACCCGUCGAAAGUCGGCCUAAUACCUCAUGGCAUCGUCUGCGGGCAUCCAACGACGAUUAAAGAUUUCAUCGGUCAGGGAUGGGGAUGCGUCUGAUUAGCUAGUUGGCGGGGUAACGGCCCUCCAAGGCGACGAUCAGUAGGGGUUCUGAGAGGAAGGUCCCCCACAUUGGAACUGAGACACGGUCCAAACUCCUACGGGAGGCAGCAGUGAGGAAUAUUGGUCAAUGGGCGAGAGCCUGAACCAGCCAAGUAGCGUGCAGGAUGACGGCCCUAUGGGUUGUAAACUGCUUUUAUGCGGGGAUAAAGUGAGGGACGUGUCCUUCAUUGCAGGUACCGCAUGAAUAAGGACCGGCUAAUUCCGUG
RNAcentral lists this ribosomal RNA (491 nucleotides) under uncultured bacterium. RNAcentral's name for it is "partial 16S ribosomal RNA". It matches the Rfam family "Bacterial small subunit ribosomal RNA", at positions 28 to 507 of the family's 1533-position model. The record is from RNAcentral.